CCUUUCCUGUGGCUCAGUCAGCAGAGCAUUGUGCUAGUAAAGCAAAUGUUAUGGGUUCAAAGCCCAGGGAAAGCA
This is a non-coding RNA of Danionella cerebrum, 75 nucleotides long. Lineage: Eukaryota; Metazoa; Chordata; Actinopteri; Cypriniformes; Danionidae. The record is from the annotation of a GenBank genome assembly.